Long non-coding RNA from Eubalaena glacialis (North Atlantic right whale), 226 nucleotides. RefSeq lists it as uncharacterized. The transcript is spliced from 3 exons. Lineage: Eukaryota; Metazoa; Chordata; Mammalia; Artiodactyla; Balaenidae. The record is from RefSeq and is a predicted model, not a curated record.
GUUUGGGGCAAUGCUCUUCCCAGAUUUCUACAUCCCUGGCACAAGUUGAACCAGUUGGUUUAGGAUGUUCAUUUACCUACUUACAUGUGUAUCUAUUGUAAACAGCACCUUUUUUUUUAAAUUCAAUCAGUAUCAGCUGGGGUCACCCGCAUGGCUGCGUUCCGCUGGCUCAUGGGCUGGGUUGGAAAGAAGACAUGGCUGCCUCACCAAGGGCUGGAGACUUGGA